Molecule: ribosomal RNA, 887 nt
Filed under: Craterellus yunnanensis
Lineage: Eukaryota; Fungi; Basidiomycota; Agaricomycetes; Cantharellales; Hydnaceae
Description: Cantharellus yunnanensis partial large subunit ribosomal RNA
Rfam family: Eukaryotic large subunit ribosomal RNA
Source: RNAcentral
AACUAACUAGGAUUCCCCCAGUAACUGCGAGUGAAGAGGGAAGAGCUCAUCAUUGGAAUCUGGCAGUGUUGCACUGUCCGAGUUGUAGAUGAGGAGUAGUCCGUCUGGACUGCAUGGCGUCCAAGUACAAUAGGCCGUCAGUGGGACAUCAUAGAGGGUGACAAUCCCGUCCUUGACGCCAAUGUGCAAGUCUAUUACGAUGGCUAUCUCAGAGAGUCGAGCAGUUUGGGAUUUGCUGCUUAAACAUGGGAGGUAGAUUCCUUCUAAAGCUAAAUACAGGCGAGAGACCGAUAGAGAACAAGUACCGCAAGGGAAAGAUGAAAUAGCACUCUGUGAAGGGAGUCAAAAGGCGUGAAAUUGUUGCGAGAGAAGCGAUUCAAGUCAGCGUAGCUAGGCCCAUCAAGCGUCUUCGCUUUGGACUAGCUUUGCCAGCGGUCUUGUCCCUUGAAGAGACUUGACUUGUAAUAUGUCCAGCCUGGCGUGCACAGGCAGCCCCUUCUGGGGGCCAGUGGCAUGGCUGGUGGAAUGGCUUGCAAUCGACCCGUCUUGAAACACGGACCAAGGAGUCUAACAUGUAUGCGAGUAUAAGGGUGGCAAACCCGUAUGCGCAAUGAAAGUGAUUUUCGGUGAUUGAGAAUGGCCUGAUGACCAGACAAGCAAUAUAUGUCCCUCGUACGGCCAUUGCCCAAGUUCCGUGGUAGAUCCCACGAACAUGGAGUUGGAGCAUACAUGCUAGGACCCGAAAGAUGGUGAACUAUGCCUGGACAAAGCGAAGCCAAAGGAAACUCUGGUGGAGGCUUGUAGCGAUUCUGACGUGCAAAUCGAUCGUCUGAUCUGGGUAUAGGGGCGAAAGACUAAUCGAACCAUCUCAUAGCUGGUUCCUGCGA